Balaenoptera musculus (blue whale) is the source of this 2435-nucleotide long non-coding RNA. RefSeq lists it as uncharacterized. The transcript is spliced from 3 exons. Lineage: Eukaryota; Metazoa; Chordata; Mammalia; Artiodactyla; Balaenopteridae. The record is from RefSeq and is a predicted model, not a curated record.
UAUUCUAACAGGAGGGAUGACAGCCUCUGUUGAGACACCAGUGGAACCACAGGAGGACACAGUUCUGUCUGCGCAGGGCCAGACCAGACAGGCACCCAGCGUCCAGAGGAGGGCAGUCUGGACUGUGAGAUGGGACAGUGCGGGGGACUUCUGGAGGGCUGGUAAUGCUCCAGUUCCUGAUUGGGUGUUGGUUAUAUGGAGUCACUUUGUGAAAAGUGACUUUUCUUUUCUUGCACUUUUCUGUAUAUGGUAUUCUUCAAUGUUUACUAAAAAAAAAUAGGACCUUUUCAGAAAGGUGUCCUCUUUAACACACCUGCCAGCGAGCUUAUUGCCACGGCUGCCCUCCUCCCUGCUCCCUUCUCCUCGGCGAAGGCACCUCCUUUGCCCAGCGAGGAGCUCCAGAUCCGCUGGCCUCAGAACUGCCCGCACGGCCCAUCCCCCGCCGGCUGAGCCGGGAGCCGCCUGUCCCUCUACCGCCUCCCCCAGUCUGCGCUGAGGGGUUUGGGGUCUCCCCGUCUGCCCCCCACCCCGUCUUUCCCUCCUCCAGCGUCUGGCACACGUCGCCCUGUCCUGCAGGAGCACCGAGGGCUCUGGAGGCCCUUCUUGGUCGUUCUGUGACCCAUCUCGGCACAGCUCCUGGCAUGCCCGGGGCACCUCCUCUGUCACAGUGCGGGCCACACAGCAUGGGCUCGGAAAAGCCCCGCCGCCGCCCGCCAUCCGGGAGACGCUGGUCCUCACUCACCUCUCGGGCUUUGCUCCGAGUUCGCAGCACGUGUCCCGCCCCAACUUCCCUCAGGCUUCACAGCACGACUCCCAGGCGCUGGUCCCUCUGCUGGGCUGCACCCGUGGCCACGGCCUGUCGCGUGUUCUGUGUCCCCUCUUGGCAACUCCCUGCGAGUGGCCAGGCUGCCUGGGGACAGCGGGGCCGGGGAGGCCUGGGGACUGGAUGGCGAGACAGCCCACAGGCGGGAACGGACGGGACACGCCUGGUGACGUCUCCCGAGAAACCCCAAACCCCAGUCCACCUGGAGGUGGCCCUUGCUGGCUGUCACGGUGUCCGCGUCACCCCCCCUCCCCACCACCCCAGAGCUCUGCCUGGGUGUCUACUGCGUGCCCGUGUGCCUUGAAGAAGACGACGCGGUCCCAGCCUACGGGUCAGCCCAGACCCGCGGCCACAGGCAGACGCGCAGAGAUGAUGGAACUCGCGGCCCGGCCAGGGCUCUGUUGAGAAGCCUCGCGGGGAGCCCUCCACUCCCCUGGGGACCGAGCCAUCCUGCAGACAGCAGGGCCUGAGGGACGGGCCCUAGGGCUUCCUUGGUGCCUGCCCUCCUGCACGGCUGCUUCCACGGACAGAACGUCCCUUCCUCUCCGCCGCCAGCUGGAGAGCAGCUUCGCAUGGCCCACGGUAUCAGAACAACAUACUAACCUAUUGGUACCCCUUAAACAGCACACAGAUGACAGUGGUACUUGUCGCAUCACAGAGUUCUGAUGGAGGGACACCUACACGCUGCUGACCCGUGAGGAUGAGAAGGGCGCAGAGCACUGGACGGGGCUCCUACCCCCUCCCUGGAUGACUGAAUGCCGCCCGGAAGGAUGGGGAAGGAUGCAGUACAGCGCAGGCUGGCCUGGCUCGGGGAGCAUCACCCCUGGCCUGCCCAUCCCGCCACUUCUCCGCCGUUGCCCCGACCGCACCCAGCCACGCAGACCCCGCGACACCGUCGGAAUGCUUUGGGUUUCAUCAGAGCUCUUCCUUCAGGACUCGGCUCAAAUGUUUGCCUCCAAGAAGCCACUUCUGAUGCUUCCCAGGAGCCUGAGCCAGGGCCCUCCCCGCCUCCGGUCACCCUGCACCUUUUCCACAGCCCCAAUAAACACCGCUCACUGGACUCAGUUCCGGGGUUGAUUCCUAUUUGUUUCCCUAGAGCCUAGCCCAGGGCCUGGACCGUAAUAAGCUUAUCAAUAAAUGUUCCAUGGACGAGUUCCAGUGUGACCCGCAGAUCCCUUCCAAAAAGUGUGCCUUCACGUGCCAUGUGAUUGUGUUUAAAAAAGUUUUGUUGGUCACAGUAGUCUGAUGCCAUAGAAAUGUUUGUUGCCAGUGUUAUAAAUGUGACCUCGCUGUAGCUAUCAACUCUAUACCUGUUCCCUUUUAAUGCAAGGUUUCACUUAUUAUUAAGAGAAGUGUUCGUCAACAUUCAUUAUUCUGACAUUUGCAAAAUCAACGGUAACUAAUCGCCAUUGGAAUCACAGAAGGAGAGCGUUUUCAUUAGAUACUUAGAGCUUUUAAAUAUUCUUAUAUGAAAUAAAAAAAUAAAGGCCACUAAAAUGAAAGACUGAAAAAGGCCUUCCAGCCUGCAAGACAGAAAUAGGGGGCCUAUCAUCAAAAAAUCUACAAACAAUAAAUGCUGGAGAGGGUGUGGAGAAAAGGGAACUCUCUUGCA